UAUCUCUGUAGAGUCUGCAUAUCAAUAAGCGGAGGAAAAGAAACUAACUAAGGAUUCCCUUAGUAACGGCGAGUGAAGCGGGAAGAGCUCAAAUUUGAAAUCUUCAAGGUUUUACCUUGACGAAUUGUAGUUUAAAGAAGUGUUUUCUGUUAGGAUUUGAGUAGCAAAAGUUCCUUGGAAUAGGGACAUCAUAGAGGGUGAGAAUCCCGUAUUUGGAUCAUUACUUCCUAGCUUUGUGAUACACUUUCAAAGAGUCGGAUUGUUUGGGAAUGCAGUCCAAAAUGGGUGGUAAAUUUCAUCUAAAGCUAAAUAUUGGCGAGAGACCGAUAGCGAACAAGUACCGUGAGGGAAAGAUGAAAAGAACUUUGAAAAGAGAGUUAAACAGUACGUGAAAUUGUCAAAAGGGAAGCGUUUGACACCAGUGUUGUUUUUCCGAAAAUCAAUUACGAAUGGCUUGAUUUUGUGUUGUAUUGACCUUAUCAGCUUUCUUCACUUUUUUCGAGUCUUUCUUAAUGCACUUUUCGGUUAACAAGUCAACAUCAAUUUCUUUUGUUGUAAAAGAGUAUUCGGAAGGUGGCUUUCUUUUCGGAGAAAGUGUUUAUAGCCCCUAUACUUCUACAAUCGGAGAGAUUGAGGUCUGCAGCGUAGAUCCUUCGGGGUUAGAUACACUUGUGCUAAGUUGUAGCUUUUCAUAGACAACUUGUUGACUAUGUUUAGUCAUGCGGCUUACUCGCUUAUGCUAUUUUACCUACGCUUAGGAUGUUGACGAGACUGUCGAUCUC
RNAcentral lists this ribosomal RNA (782 nucleotides) under uncultured Neocallimastigales. RNAcentral describes it as "partial large subunit ribosomal RNA". It matches the Rfam family "Eukaryotic large subunit ribosomal RNA", at positions 24 to 647 of the family's 3401-position model. The record is from RNAcentral. Lineage: Eukaryota; Fungi; Neocallimastigomycota; Neocallimastigomycetes; Neocallimastigales.